RNAcentral lists this ribosomal RNA (501 nucleotides) under uncultured bacterium. RNAcentral describes it as "partial 16S ribosomal RNA". It matches the Rfam family "Bacterial small subunit ribosomal RNA", at positions 30 to 523 of the family's 1533-position model. The record is from RNAcentral.
AUUGAACGCUGGCGGCAGGCUUAACACAUGCAAGUCGAGCGGGGGAAGGUAGCUUGCUACCGGACCUAGCGGCGGACGGGUGAGUAAUGCUUAGGAAUCUGCCUAUUAGUGGGGGACAACAUCUCGAAAGGGAUGCUAAUACCGCAUACGUCCUACGGGAGAAAGCAGGGGAUCUUCGGACCUUGCGCUAAUAGGUGAGCCUAAGUCGGAUUAGCUAGUUGGUGGGGUAAAGGCCUACCAAGGCGACGAUCUGUAGCGGGUCUGAGAGGAUGAUCCGACACACUGGGACUGAGACACGGACCAGACUCCUACGGGAGGCAGCAGUGGGGAAUAUUGGACAAUGGGGGGAACCCUGAUCCAGCCAUGCCGCGUGUGUGAAGAAGGCCUUAUGGUUGUAAAGCACUUUAAGCGAGGAGGAGGCUACUUUAGUUAAUACCUAGAGAUAGUGGACGUUACUCGCAGAAUAAGCACCGGCUAACUCUGUGCCAGCCGCCGCGGUAA